AUUGAACGCUGGCGGCAGGCCUAACACAUGCAAGUCGAGCGGAUGACGGGAGCUUGCUCCUUGAUUCAGCGGCGGACGGGUGAGUAAUGCCUAGGAAUCUGCCUGGUAGUGGUGGACAACGUUUCGAAAGGAACGCUAAUACCGCAUACGUCCUACGGGAGAAAGCAGGGGACCUUCGGGCCUUGCGCUAUCAGAUGAGCCUAGGUCGGAUUAGCUUGUUGGUGAGGUAAUGGCUCACCAAGGCGACGAUCCGUAACUGGUCUGAGAGGAUGAUCAGUCACACUGGAACUGAGACACGGUCCAGACUCCUACGGGAGGCAGCAGUGGGGAAUAUUGGACAAUGGGCGAAAGCCUGAUCCAGCCAUGCCGCGUGUGUGAAGAAGGUCUUCGGAUUGUAAAGCACUUUAAGUUGGGAGGAAGGGUUGUAGAUUAAUACUCUGCAAUUUUGACGUUACCGAAAGAAUAAGCACCGGCUAACUCUGUG
RNAcentral lists this ribosomal RNA (484 nucleotides) under uncultured bacterium. RNAcentral's name for it is "partial 16S ribosomal RNA". It matches the Rfam family "Bacterial small subunit ribosomal RNA", at positions 30 to 507 of the family's 1533-position model. The record is from RNAcentral.